This 583-nucleotide long non-coding RNA is filed under the name Taeniopygia guttata (zebra finch). RNAcentral's name for it is "lncRNA (ENSTGUG00000019989.1)". The record is from RNAcentral. Lineage: Eukaryota; Metazoa; Chordata; Aves; Passeriformes; Estrildidae.
UCGGUGUCUGGUUCCGAUUUCUCCUGGUCUUCCCUUGUGUUUUUGGGUGUCUGAGCACACCCUGGCUGUUGGUCCCCCUACGUGCCUUGGCAGGGAGGUCGUUGUCCCUUUGGCUGCCACACCCCACGCUGGUGACAUUUUGGGGCUCAGACUCCCGUUGCACCCCCUCAAUGCCUGGGGGGGGUUUGCCUGACUUGGGACACCUCUCUCCAUCCAUGGGUGACACAGCAACACCAACAGGGGGACCAUGGCCAGAUGUCCCCUCUCUGCAGGCUGGGGAGUGUCACUGAGGGCCCCCCAGUCCCGGUGAUUCCACUGCCCAGGGUUUGUCACUGCAGGAGCUGUGCUGGUCUGGGACAGAUGCCAACGCUCCGGUGAGCAGCCACAGCCUCGGGGAGAGCGGCGGAGCCCAUGGAAUAGAGCAGGAGAAUCCCCGCGCCGGGUGUCUCCAGCAGGACCCGGAGCAGCCCGAGGCGGGGACAGGAGCCGGACAUGGCCCGAGCCAGCCCCGCCCGGCGGGGACAGGAAAGCGGCGGGAGAAGAAGCGGGGAGAGAAGGGGGAGCCAAGGGCAGCGCUGCCGGC